GAUGAACGCUGGCGGCGUGCCUAAUACAUGCAAGUCGAGCGAACAGACGAGGAGCUUGCUCCUCUGACGUUAGCGGCGGACGGGUGAGUAACACGUGGAUAACCUACCUAUAAGACUGGGAUAACUUCGGGAAACCGGAGCUAAUACCGGAUAAUAUAUUGAACCGCAUGGUUCAAUAGUGAAAGACGGUUUUGCUGUCACUUAUAGAUGGAUCCGCGCCGCAUUGGCUAGUUGGUAAGGUAACGGCUUACCAAGGCGACGAUGCGUAGCCGACCUGAGAGGGUGAUCGGCCACACUGGAACUGAGACACGGUCCAGACUCCUACGGGAGGCAGCAGUAGGGAAUCUUCCGCAAUGGGCGAAAGCCUGACGGAGCAACGCCGCGUGAGUGAUUAAGGUCUUCGGAUCGUAAAACUCUGUUAUUAGGGAAGAACAAAUGUGUAAGUAACUAUGCACGUCUUGACGGUACCUAAUCAGAAAGCCACGGCUAACUACGUG
This 497-nucleotide ribosomal RNA is filed under the name uncultured bacterium. RNAcentral's name for it is "partial 16S ribosomal RNA". It matches the Rfam family "Bacterial small subunit ribosomal RNA", at positions 28 to 507 of the family's 1533-position model. The record is from RNAcentral.